Molecule: ribosomal RNA, 253 nt
Filed under: uncultured bacterium
Lineage: Bacteria
Description: partial 16S ribosomal RNA
Rfam family: Bacterial small subunit ribosomal RNA
Source: RNAcentral
UACGAAGGUGGCAAGCGUUGUUCGGAUUUACUGGGCGUAAAGAGUGCGUAGGCGGUUUAAUAAGUCAGGAGUGAAAUCCCAGGGCUCAACCUUGGAAUUGCUUUUGAAACUAUUUUACUUGAAUCCGGUAGAGGUUGGCGGAAUUCCCAGUGUAGAGGUGAAAUUCGCAGAUAUUGGGAGGAACACCAGUGGCGUAAGCGGCCAACUGGACCGGUAUUGACGCUGAGGCACGAAAGCGUGGGUAGCAAACAGG